RNAcentral lists this ribosomal RNA (253 nucleotides) under uncultured bacterium. Its description in RNAcentral is "partial 16S ribosomal RNA". It matches the Rfam family "Bacterial small subunit ribosomal RNA", at positions 524 to 776 of the family's 1533-position model. The record is from RNAcentral.
UACGGAGGGUGCAAGCGUUAAUCGGAAUUACUGGGCGUAAAGCGUGCGCAGGCGGCUAUGCAAGACAGAUGUGAAAUCCCCGGGCUCAACCUGGGAACUGCAUUUGUGACUGCAUAGCUAGAGUACGGUAGAGGGGGAUGGAAUUCCGCGUGUAGCAGUGAAAUGCGUAGAUAUGCGGAGGAACACCGAUGGCGAAGGCAAUCCCCUGGACCUGUACUGACGCUCAUGCACGAAAGCGUGGGGAGCAAACAGG